UACGUAGGUGGCAAGCGUUGUCCGGAUUUACUGGGCGUAAAGAGCGCGCAGGCGGUCGUGCAAGUCGCGUGUGAAAGCCCCCGGCUCAACUGGGGAGGGUCACGCGAUACUGCUCGACUCGAAGGCAGGAGAGGGAAGUGGAAUUCCCGGUGUAGUGGUGAAAUGCGUAGAUAUCGAGAGGAACACCGGUGGCGAAGGCGGCCUUCUGGACAGUGACUGACGCUGAGACGCGAAAGCGUGGGGAGCAAACAGG
This 253-nucleotide ribosomal RNA is filed under the name uncultured bacterium. RNAcentral's name for it is "partial 16S ribosomal RNA". It matches the Rfam family "Bacterial small subunit ribosomal RNA", at positions 524 to 776 of the family's 1533-position model. The record is from RNAcentral.